CCUACGGGAGGCAGCAGUGGGGGAUAUUGGACAAUGGGGGGAACCCUGAUCCAGCGACGCCGCGUGAGUGAAGAAGUAUUUCGGUAUGUAAAGCUCUGUCAGCAGGGAAGAAAGAAAUGACGGUACCUGACCAAGAAGCCCCGGCUAACUACGUGCCAGCAGCCGCGGAAAUACGUAGGGGGCAAGCGUUAUCCGGAAUUACUGGGUGUAAAGGGAGCGUAGACGGUUAAGUAAGUCUGGAGUGAAAGGCCGGGGCCCAACCCCGGGACUGCUCUGGAAAAGAUUGAACUUGAGUGCAGGAGAGGUAAGCGGAAUUCCUAGUGUAGCGGUGAAAUGCGUAGAUAUUAGGUGGAACACCAGUGGCGAAGGCGGCUUACUGGACUGUAACUGACGUUGAGGCUCGAAAGCGUGGGGAGCAAACAGGAUUAGAUACCCCUGUAGUC
RNAcentral lists this ribosomal RNA (443 nucleotides) under uncultured bacterium. RNAcentral's name for it is "partial 16S ribosomal RNA". It matches the Rfam family "Bacterial small subunit ribosomal RNA", at positions 338 to 795 of the family's 1533-position model. The record is from RNAcentral.